Oncorhynchus keta (chum salmon) is the source of this 831-nucleotide long non-coding RNA. RefSeq lists it as uncharacterized. The transcript is spliced from 3 exons. NCBI's taxonomy places the organism in Eukaryota, Metazoa, Chordata, Actinopteri, Salmoniformes, Salmonidae. The record is from RefSeq and is a predicted model, not a curated record.
ACUUCAAGAAGACAUUGACAAACAGACACCCGUACAUGAUGGCCUAUCCCUAAUUAUCUCUCUGUGCACCAUCAUUUUUCAAACUGUAGACACAUACAUGUACUGUUAGCUCUGUCCCAGUUCCAACACUACCAAGAGUAUCUCAAGUAUAUGCAGACCACAUUUGCCCUGCGAUCCCAGGGCAUAGUCAACCUGUGAAGGAGUUCCUUGAUCGCAGGUAAAAUUGUAUGGCAGUUUUUUUUACACAAGUAUGACAUGCUUUAAUAUAUUAGUUAUAGUGUGUUGCCGAAAUUGUGAUAAUACUGCUAAAUACUGUCCUUUUGCGGUCUGUCAUUUCCAAGUGUUAGCUGUAUGCAGAGUUCUGCCGAAUCAGGGACCAGAACUUGCCGAACUUCUUCUAUGCUGCACUCGACUGUCACUUUUACCAACAGACUGCGUCCAAGACUGGAAGGAUCGCUUACGCUUUGGGUGACAUUCUGAGGUGUCAUGAUCUAGGAUAUGGGAACUACAUGAUGUUCUCCACUGUUCUCUGUGCUCGUCCUGUGUUGCUGCGUGAGGAAGUCUUAGGAGUUUUCAAAACACGCAAGGGGGAGGACUCCCGAGGAGCCAGAUAUUGUUGACACACCGGUAUCCCUACUUACAAUUGCCAGUGACAACACCAAAAAUGUCAUCUAAGUCCAUUAGUGUCAAGAACUCCAUUUUCCUGGAGAGUGAAGUUGUGGUGACCGACCUCCCCAGACUGGCUGACACUUAACUGGUAAUGUUCGGUCUGAUCUGUGCUCUACAUCUCAGUUAGAUUGUUACCCAGAAAGGAUUAGAUAUUGAUAUGAA